UCCUAGUUAGUACAGCGGUUAGUAUAUGUCGCUUUCACCUUGAGUGCGGCGCCGACAAGGCCCGGGUUCGACUCCCGGACUGGGAA
Non-coding RNA from Malassezia caprae, 86 nucleotides. NCBI's taxonomy places the organism in Eukaryota, Fungi, Basidiomycota, Malasseziomycetes, Malasseziales, Malasseziaceae. The record is from the annotation of a GenBank genome assembly.